Molecule: ribosomal RNA, 207 nt
Filed under: uncultured bacterium
Lineage: Bacteria
Description: partial 16S ribosomal RNA
Rfam family: Bacterial small subunit ribosomal RNA
Source: RNAcentral
UGCGUAGGUGGCGCUGUAAGUCAGGUGUGAAAUUUCGGAGCUUAACUCCGAAACUGCAUUUGAUACUGCGGUGCUUGAGGACUGGAGAGGAGACUGGAAUUCACGGUGUAGCAGUGAAAUGUGUAGAGAUCGUGAGGAAGACCAGUGGCGAAGGCGGGUCUCUGGACAGUUCCUGACACUGAGGCACGAAGGCCAGGGGAGCAAACG